Molecule: long non-coding RNA, 534 nt
Organism: Cyprinus carpio carpio
Lineage: Eukaryota; Metazoa; Chordata; Actinopteri; Cypriniformes; Cyprinidae
Source: Ensembl
UGUGUGUGUAUGAACUUGUGUGUGAGAACUUGUGUGAGUUUGUGUAUGCACAUGCGUGUGCAAUGUGAGCGUUUGUGUGUGAGCUUGGGUCUGAGUGUGUGUGAGCUUGUGUGUGCGCGUGUAGUUGUGAGUGUGUGAGCUUGUUUGUGCGUGUGUGUUUGUGAGUGUGUGAGCUUGUGUGUGCACGUGUAAGAGCUUUUGUGUAUGCUUGUGCAUAUGUGUGUGAGUGUGUUACACACGCUUUUGCAUAUGUGUGUGUGAGCUUGUGUGUAUGUGUGUAUGCACACGCUUGUGCGUGUGUGUGUGUGUGUGUGAACUUGUGUGAGUUUAUGUAUGCACAUGCGUGUGCAAUGUGAGCGCUUGUUUGUGAGCUUGGGUCUGAGUGUGUGUGAGCUUGUGUGUGCCGGUGUGUGUGCGUGUGUGUGUGUGUGUGUUUGUUUGUGAGAGAGCUUGUGUGUAUGCACACGUUUGUGCAUAUGCGUGUGAGUGUGUUACACACACUUUUGCGUGUGUGUGUGUGUGUGUGUGUGUGUG